CCUACGGGAGGCAGCAGUGGGGAAUAUUGGGCAAUGGGCGCAAGCCUGACCCAGCAACGCCGCGUGAAGGAAGAAGGCUUUCGGGUUGUAAACUUCUUUUCUGAGGGACGAAGAAAGUGACGGUACCUCAGGAAUAAGCCAGGGCUAACUACGUGCCAGCAGCCGCGGUAAUAUGUAGGUGGCAAGCGUUAUCCGGAUUUAUUGGGUGUAAGGGGCGUGUAGGCGGGUAAGCAAGUCUGAUGUGAAAACUCAGGGCUCAACCCUGAGCCUGCAUUUGAAACUGUUUGUCUUGAGUGCUGGAGAGGCAAUCGGAAUUCCUGGUGUAGCGGUGAAAUGCGUAGAUAUACGGAGGAACACCAGUGGCGAAGGCGGAUUGCUGGACAGUAACUGACGCUGAGGCGCGAAAGCGUGGGGAGCAAACAGGAUUAGAUACCCCAGUAGUC
This 443-nucleotide ribosomal RNA is filed under the name uncultured bacterium. RNAcentral describes it as "partial 16S ribosomal RNA". It matches the Rfam family "Bacterial small subunit ribosomal RNA", at positions 338 to 795 of the family's 1533-position model. The record is from RNAcentral.